RNAcentral lists this long non-coding RNA (23100 nucleotides) under Eucalyptus grandis. Its description in RNAcentral is "long non-coding RNA (EGRA_LNC004486)". The record is from RNAcentral. Lineage: Eukaryota; Viridiplantae; Streptophyta; Magnoliopsida; Myrtales; Myrtaceae.
UUCAAAGCAUCGGAAGGAAUCUUCGUGUUCGUUUAUUAGUCUGUUCAAUAGAAAAAUGUGCGACAAGGUCAAACUUGGAGUAUCACCAGUUUAACUAAGUGAACAUUCAACGCCCAUUUAUAUCACAAGACCUUGAUCGUAACAUUCUUGAUCAGUUACUACCAAUUUCAAAAGUGGGUGUAAAUGCCAUCUUGUUUGUUUAGUAACAAAAGCCCGUCUGAGACAGCCACUGGAUUCCAUGUGACUGAUCUUCUCAAGAUGUCUAGGAGAAUCACACUUUGUUUGUCCAAUGAUGCAGAUGCGAAGAUGACAAACCUUUCGCACCGAAGUAUGAAUACUCAAGAGAGAAGGCGGAAGCUCUGGGUGUCGAAUUCACUCCUUUAGAGAUCAGUCUAAGAGACACCAUUGAAUCUUUACGGGAGAAGGGGUUCAUCUCGGUCUAGGCACCUGCUUAAAAACAGCACGACACUAGCUGAUAAUUCGGGGUUCCUUGCUUUACGAAACAAGUUUUACCGGUUGAAGUUUCUUCACGCGAUUUGUAGUCCGAUAUGACUUACAACUAGAAGUGUACAUUAUCUGCAGAAAUCUCUAAAGACCUGCAUCUUCUUGGGGUAAUAUUGCGAAUGAACAAGUUGAGCUAGCAUUUUAUUGGACGCCCUCAUCUCCGGUGUACUCCAUUAGACGCUACGUGGAAGAAAAAGAUGAUACAUACCAUUUAAAACCAGAUCAGAUACUCAGAAACCAAGGAUUUACAAAGGAAAUGAAGUAUUUCUUUUCCACGAGAAAGACAUAUGGGAAGACGAGAGAAAAUUGAAGAGAGGAAUCCAUUGGCCAAGGACAAAGGGAGAUUCCGCACCACUCGCUCCACGUUUGCCUCGUCCUUGUUAUGAAUCUUGCCGAGAAACGCGCAUGGCAACGCUGAAAGUAGUAUUCCUUUUGCUUGCCUUCCUUUUGAAAACAUUGUGUUGUUUCCUUAUUUAGUACAUAACCUUUUAUGUGUUUCAUUAGUGUUAUAAAACUUGUUGCGCAGAAUUCUAAUAUUUCGUUGCCAAAUAAAAAACAACUUUCCAUGCAUGGUGAUCUUAUGAUAUGAUUAGUGAUCUUUAUAUCUUAUUGUAAAGUAGUGUAACCGACUGUUUGUUGGUCAAAUGCACUAACGGUGAUUUACCAAAAUGUUGACAAUUUACCAAUAAUAAAUACAAUAAUACAUUAUCAACCUUCUCUUUUUUUUCACUAGGUUAUCACUCUAAACAAAAAAUUCAAAUGCGAAAUUAGUGACUUCCUACUGAAAUUGCAAGGUAGUAAGUUCCUAGCAGAGUGAAGAAUUUAUUGACUUCAAAUGAAAUGCAAGUUAUCAUUAUUUUGACGAGCUCGCCGGGCCUCGCCAAUAGGUCAAUAACUAUUGGGUCACAAAUGUAAAACUUAGCCCGCUUUUACCAUAGCAAGUUAUCAUCUUAGAAAUUUUCCGCUUAGUAGAUGGAUCCGCUUGUAAAAUUUGAAAGUAUUUGAUAAUUCAUUAGUUGAUACGAGUCAUGACAUCAUUAUUGAAACGAAUAAUAGUUUAUUACAUGGGGCUAAAUUGAAACAAAUCUUUUCUGUAGGCAUGGCAUCCGAAGACAUUUCCUUGAAACGUAGCUGUCUUAGACAAGUUGCCUUUGAGUCAGGCAUGACACAAGUGAUCGGAUAUUUCUAUCGGCGCCCAACCCCUGUGGUCUAGAAUAGGUGAUCGUUCAAAGUUUCUCCAUCUAUCUUCUCUGAUUGAAGGAUUUAAGUUGGCGAGACAUGUGAAGGUUGAAAAUUAUUCAAGUUGAACAUUAUCUGAAAGCAAUCAUAGAUGAUUUUUUUCCUUAUAUAUACCAGUAGAAGAUUCAGCUCCAAGGAUAGGAGAGGAGAGGGAAAAUGAGCACGACAGAGAAGGUGGUUUGUGUAACCGGAGGGGCUGGUUACAUAGCAUCAUGGCUCAUCAACUUGCUGCUUCACAGGGGCUAUACAGUCAAAGCGACCAUCCGCAACACCAGUAAGUUCAUCGUUUCAUCUUCGUGUCUUGUUCUUAAUUUUUUUUUUUUUUUUUUUUGGAUUCUUGGGUGGUGCACUCUAUUCUUAGAGAAUGAUUCACAGUUUCUUAGUCGAAUCAUUCGGAUGCAUGGACUUUGUACCAAAUUCCGUUUUUAUCAGAAAGUGUGCUUUUCUAAUCGUCUCUUCCCAUUUCGAUUCACUCGCAUAUGCGUGUAUUUAUUUGGAAGUGCAUAAGUGCAUGUGUACGCAUAUACUGAUUUGUCUAUGUGCUUUUGGAGCUAUGGCAAUAUAACAUGUUCGAGUUCGCUGCCUAAAGAAUUAAUCCCUUGCAAUAUUCGAAUCCAUUAUGUCUUAAUCCUGGUUUUUUAUAGAUGUGGAUAUGUUGCAACUCAGGUCAAGAUCAAGUACUAGCAUGUUUCAUGAUUCAUAACUUGAUGUCAUUCUAUAUGAAGGAACUUAGAUUGUGAUCUAUCAGAUCUAAUUCUGCAUUCUGGCAUGUGUAUAUAAGCAGAUGAUUCACAGAAGACACAACAUCUUCUGGCACUUGGAGGGGCCAAGGAGAGGCUCCAUUUGUUUAAAGCAGAUUUGCUAGAAGAAGGGUCCUUUGACUCGAUACUCGAUGGGUGCGGAGCUGUUUUUCAUACAGCAUCACCUGUGGUUUUCUCGGCUUCGGAUCCCCAGGUGUCUGCACAUAUCAGUUCCUUCCGCUUUGUACUGUAGAUUCAUACGAUAGAUGAUCUGAUAUUACUUGGGUGAUUUGGCAAAAUCGUACUGAUGACCUCCUUCAUGUUGCAGGCUGAAAUAGUGGAUCCAGCUGUCAGAGGCACCUCAAACGUUCUCAAAUCAUGUGCAAAAGUCCCUUCUAUCAACCGAGUGGUAGUGACCUCCUCCAUGGCUGCAGUAGUGUUCAAUGGAAAACCUCUGACCUCUGGUGUGGUGGUUGAUGAAACAUGGUUCUCUGAUCCGGUUUUCUGCGAGGAAUCAAAGGUAGUAAGAUGCUUUUCUUGAUAUUGUUGGUCUCUUUUGCUUGGUCCGCUGUCUGUGAGUUCGUUCAUCGCAUUGUUGUGUCUGCUAUUUUCAGCUUUGGUAUGUGCUCUCCAAAACCUUGGCGGAGAAGGCUGCUUGGGAAUUUGCUAAAGAGAAGAGGAUCGACCUGGUCGUGAUGAACCCAGGACAUGUGAUUGGAACCUUUUGCAGCCUACAGUCAAUCUCUCGGUGGAAUUGAUAUUGAACUUUGUCAACGGUAUUACUUGAUGGUUUCUAUGUCACACGUACUAUUUUUCAUGAGAUGAUUCAUUCUUUUACACAUCAUGUCAGCAUUUGGCAUCUCUUUUAAAUUCUGAGAUUGACCAUGGGAGGGUUGAUUCAGUGUCAUAAUUGCAUAAUUACAUGCAGUCGAUUUCCAUGUGCAAGAAAAAACACGGUUGCUCAAGGAAAUUGAUUUUUGAUUAAAAAUGGCGUUAGCAGUGGGAAUAAUCGAUACAUGUAUGAUGUAGGAACUGAAGAAUUUCCCAAUGCAUCCUACGGAUUUGUUGAUGUCCAAGACGUCGCACUAGCACAUAUUCAAGCUCUCGAAAACCCUUCAGCCAGCGGCAGAUAUUGCGUAGUUGGAGGAGUAAUGCACUAUCCGGACAUGUCGAAGAUCUUGCACCAUCUCUAUCCCACAUUGCGCCUCCCAGAAAAGUAAGUUCCCGUUUUUGUUCAACUCCAUAGAUUAAAAGGUAACUUUUUUUCUCUUAAGAGCAAGUCGAGAAAUGGUCUUAUGGCGAGCAUAUACACUAACGUUAACCGAUGCUGCACGAAUCAUGCAUUUUGAACACAGAUGUGAAGACAACAAGCCUGCUGUGGCGGCUCAUCGGAUAUCAAGGGAAAAAGUAGAAGGUUUGGGUGUGAAUUUCAUACCUCUGGAGGUUAGCAUAAAAGAUACUGUUGAAAGCCUCAAGUAGAAAACUUUCCUCUCUUUUUGAGCUUUUUCUUCGGAGGUCGGCCUAAGUGACAUCAUUGGAGCCUCAAGGGCGAAGGCGGAAUCUCUCUAUUUGAGCUAGCUUUUCUCGAUCGACAACGCUGACCUCAUAGUCAUACUUAAAAGGUUGUUGAUAACGUAUUGUAUAUUUCAUAUAGUUAUCGUGGUCGGACCAUGUAUGGUCUCUUACUCUUGUUGAAUAGAGCAUUCCAUCUCUAAACUUGAAAGACGAUGCAAUGCUGAAUGUCUAUCCUAUAGUUAUUGUAUGCGAAUUUGCUUUAAUAUUCAAUAACAAUAUUAGGAUAAUCGAGUGUGAUAAUAUUGAAAAUAAUUUAUUGAAAAAAUCAAGAGAAUUGAAGGGCUCAAUAUAUUCAAGAAAAAGUCCAACCAAAAAAAAAACAUAAAUUAAGGGAUCAAAUAUGGUUUAUCCCAAAUCAAGAAUUAGAUAAGUACAACUACUCAGGGUGCGUUUGGCUGGCACCUAUUUCUGUUCCCAGGAACAGAAAUUUCUGUUUUUUUGUUCCUGGGAACAAAAAAGGAACAGAAACGCGUUUGGGUGCGUUUCUGUUCCUUUUUGUUCUUUUGUUCCCAGAAACAAAAAGGGAACAGAAAUAAGAAACAAAAAAUUCUUGUUUCUUAUUUCUGAAACAUAUUUGAGGAACAAAAAAGAAACAAAAUGGUGUUCUCUUGCGACCCUCUCCUCCUGCAAGCGUCUCCACCGUCGUCUUCUCCGGCGCCUCCCACUCUCCGGCGCCGACAGCCGCCUCUGUCUUGAGACCAUCCGGCUUCUCCACCAUCGACCUCUCCGGCACCGACAGCCGCUGCAAGCGUCUCCACCUGUGAGCGAGUGACGUAGCUGGGUCGUGGGUCGCUGGGCGGCGACGGUGGCUGCGGUGCUGGGCUCGGCCGUGGGGUCUCGAGCGGCGGACGUCUACGAGCAGAGCGGCGAGGACUGCCGGUCGAGUCGUGGGCCGGCGCGAGGUCAACGAUCGAGCGGAUCUCGAAGUCGUGGGUCACGGUGCGGUGAGAUCUGAUGCGGCGGUGGCGAACGAAGGCUCGAGACCUGCAGAUGCGUCGAUCGGGCGUGAGGCGGAGGGGCGGUCGCCGAUGCGGUGGCGGCGAGGAGGCGUCGAGCGCGGUCGCCAAUGCGGUGGAGGGAGACGACGGUGUGGCUCUAGGUCACCGUCGGCACGGCGCGGCGAGGCCGACCUCGCGCCUGGCUGGGCGAGCUCGAUCUCGCCCAGAUCCGGCGAGGCCGAGCUCGCCCAGCGGCCGGCGAGCCUCGUCGUGGCUGGGCGAGGCCGCCGGCGACCGGCCAAAAGAAGAAAAAAGGAAAAAGCAAAAAGGAAAAAGGAAAAAGAAAAAAAGGAAAAAUAAAUAAGAAAAAUAAGAAAGAAAAUAGAAAAUAAAAAUAAAAAUAUUAAAAAAUUAAAAGAAAUAAAAAAAUUAUACAAACUUACCCAAUGUGUUUCUGUUCUUUUUAUAUUUCUAAAAUGAAUUUACCAAACGCAUUUUUUUGUUUAAAAAUUGUUCCUUAGAAUAGAAACACUUUUUUUUUAUUUCUGUUCCCAGAAAUAAUUUUUAAACAGAAACGUUACCAAACGCACUUUUAAUAUCUCAAAGCUUAAAGUAAAGCUACUCAAGAGGAGUUGGAAGAGUUCCUCUUGAACUUGGGCGCCGCCCCAGGACAAUGGAAAGCGAUACGAACCUUUCGGCUCAAAGAAAAGUCGAAACGAAAUGUAAUUAUUACCAAGUAAUGUCACGUACGUAAUGGCUUACGAGUUGCGAGAAGGCGUCUAUCGUCAACCAGGAGCGACAAAAAAUGGGUUUGGAUUAUCUUUAAAGAUUCGGCAGAACAUCGGGCUCUUUAUAAUAUAAUAAGGUCCAUCUGCUGCUCCGCCACCCACUCCAGCACUCGUUCACUCUCUCCCCCGAACCACGAGAGAGGAGACCAGCGCGCGCGCGAACUCCACACGGUUCAGGUGCCAAGAACGGAGGAGAUGAGUGGAGCAGAGAAGGUGGUGGGCGUGAUCGGAGGGUCGGGUUACAUAGCUUCUUGGCUGGUCAAGCUCUUGCUCCUCCGUGGCUACACUGUUCGAGCCACUGUCCGAGACCCAUGUAAGAAAAAUGUUCCCUUUCUUUAUACUCUCUCUCUCUCUCUGCUCUGCUGUUGGAAGAAAAAAAACAGAGCUGUUGAAAUCCGAUAACCCACAUGAAGUUGUGUCCAAACCCUUUGUCAGAGUGAAACCAUCAAAGCUAUUUUUUUCUCUGAGAGAUAGAAGAAUUUUGGUAGCUUCAUUAGUUUUGUGUUGUAGAUUGCCCUCUAAUAUAUGUAUCUAUCCAAUAAAGUUCAAAUCUUUUGCAUCCUGUUCGACUUUGUUGAAGAAGUGGCACGCUCAAACCAUCGUCUAGAUUCCGGAUUCUUGAUUUAUUUAUUUUCAGUAUCAGUUUUGCGCAAGUUUCUCCGGGAACAAUACGGCUCUUCUUGUCCCGCCUAUGCCCUUUCUGAUUGUAGAUGCUACUGAUGUGUCGGUGAGGGUGCUUGCAAGUUUUAGAAUUUCAAUCAGUUAAAUGGAGAAUUUUUCUCAUUCUUGUGCAUGUGCGACAGCCGACCCAAAGAAGACAGGACACCUUCUGGCACUGGAGGGGGCAAAGGAGAGGCUGCAUUUAUUCAAAGCAGAAUUGCUGGAAGAAGGGUCCUUUGACUCGGUAGUCGAUGGAUGCGAAUGUGUUUUUCACACUGCAUCGCCUGUUUUGUUCUCAGCUGCUGACCCCCAGGUGCUUGAAUCUUGCCACGUUAAUCAUCCAACGUUGUCCUUGUUUUCCUAAAUAAGUAGAUAGCUCAUGGACAAACCAUUCCAUUCCAUGUGGAAGGGGAUUUGCUUUUCUUCUGCCACAAUGAGUUCAGUUUCGGUUUUCUGAUACUUUAUGAGAAUUUUACCGAAUGAUUUCUUCUAUUGCAUGACUCAGGCUGAAUUGAUUGAUCCUGCCCUAAAAGGCACCCUUAAUGUUCUAAGAUCAUGCGCCAAAGCCUCUUCUAUCAAGAGAGUAGUUGUGACGUCCUCUAUGACUGCAGUUUUAUUCAGUGCAAAACCUCUGACUUCGGGCAUUGUCAUUGAUGAGACUUGGCAUUCAGAUCCAGAAUUUUGCGAGAAAUCCAAGGUUUGUAUAUCAAAAUUUCCUGACAAUAUUGCUGUUCAUUUCUUUCACUUGUGAAAUUUUAGUGUUGAAUUACAUUCAGAGUUCCUGUUACAUGGUGAAACUGGUAAAAUGCUGAUUCUGAGAGGAGUUGGGACAUCAGGGAACAUUUCUCUCUUAAAUCACAUAGCUUUCACUAGACACUUUUUACGGAUACCCAAACCAAGGAGUGCCUGUCUCAUCACUUACAGUUGUUUGUGUUACUCUUGCAAUUUGGCCUGGCGCCAUGUUAGAUGCUACAUAUGCUUAUUGAAUACAACAGUUUCUCUAUACUUUACUUGCUGGAGGAGAACUACUUAUCUUUCGUUUCUUUUAGCCGGUAAUCUCCGAAUGCCUUGGAUGACAUCGAAUGAAGUCAAUGUCAUGGCAAUGGUUAUUAUAUGUGUUGAAUGAGGCGAAACAUUCUAACAGUCUCUUUGGCUUAUCUAUCUUCAGCUCUGGUAUAUGCUUUCAAAAACCUUAGCAGAGAAGGCAGCUUGGGAAUUCGCCAAAGAGAAAGGAAUUGACCUUGUCACGAUAAACCCAGGAUAUGUGAUCGGCCCUAUCUUGCAGCCCACUGUUAAUCUCACUGUGCAGACAAUACUGAACUUCAUUAAUGGUAUCACUAUCAUCUAGCCAUAAAUUAUGUUUGUUAUUGAAUCUUUGCCAUUUUAUUUCAGAGCGUCUUCAUCAAACAUUUGUGCAUGCUUUUUCUCAUUACCCAAAAGACAAUCUCAAGGAGUAACUAUAGAACUAUGUUUCUGAUUAAAGACGAUCUCAAUGAAGUCAUAUGCCCUUAACCAUACUUAUGAGUUAUGGGCGCAUGUGUCUCAGAAUGUAUUUCUGCAUUGGUCCAUGGAAUAGCUAUCCUUCUUUGCUAGAUAACUGAAUUUGGCAACAUGAGGUCCCGAGGCCCUUUCAUUCUAUCUACUGAAUCUGUCUUAUGUAUUUAAGGGUUUGCUUAAUUGGCUGCACAGACACUAUUAUAAUCAUUUCUGGUAGAUUUCCAUGUGCGACAUGGUUUUCAACUACUGGCAGUGGCAGCAUUUGGUACAAAGUUGUCUUGACGUUUGCAUGGGAGUAAUUGAGGCUUAUCCUGCAGGAGCUCAAACAUUUCCAAAUACAUGCUAUAGAUUUGUUGAUGUUAGAGACGUCACACUCGCACAUAUCCUAGCUUUUGAAAAUCAUUCAGCUCAUGGAAGAUAUUGCGUAGUAGGCGAAGUUAUACACUGCCAUGACGCUUUGCAGAUUCUCCGAAAUCUCUACCCCACUUUGCACCUCCCCGAGAAGUAAGUUAUCAUUUUUCCUUAAUUCUUAUCUUCUGUCAGACUACUGUGCAUCCAAGAGAUUACGGUUGUUUUCAUGAUGGUGUAGAUGCGAAGAUGAGAAGCCUUUCUCGUCAAAGUAUGAGAUAUCAAGAAAGAAGGCAGAAGCUCUGGGUGUCAACUUCACUCCAUUGGAGGUGAGUCUGAGAGAUACCGUCGAAUGCCUCAAGGAAAAGGGAUUCAUCUCUAUCUAGGCACUUGCUUAGAACAGCAUAUCACAAGCUUGCUAGUAAUGACUUGUGGACCUGUGGUCUGUCCUCAGCCUUUCAGCUCCUAAAUCAUACAACUGUUCUGAAUAAUGUAUCAUUACCCACUUUUAGAGAUUACACUGCCAGUUUUUCCCAGCUAAUCUUAAGUUAUUGAUGUUUAGUUUCUCUGUCCAAUUUGCCUGCCGAAACGACUCAUCAUAUAGAACAUCAGAAAUAAUCUCGAAGACUUUGUAAGCAAUGUCGAAAACUUGUGAGAUAAAUUGAGUUAAUGACUCAAGCUAGCGGUUAAGCCAAGAAGGCUCCUUUCAGGCCAACAUACUUGACUGCCAUUAUGUAUAACGCCAAUAGAAAAAUGAAGGACUUACUAUAAUUGGAUAUGAAUAUCAAAGACUGAUUCUGCCAAUGACUUAUAUGACCAAAAAUUGGUGACUCAUGGUACUCUCAAUCAACAGAGCAUUGAACAGUGUUUCUGAGCUUAACAAAACCUUGAUAAUAAUAGCUGGAUCAUAAGUAGACAAUGCAUACUGGCUGCGAUUGCCAUCCCGAUGCAAGAGAGCUUUACACGACCAAAUUGCAUCUGAACUUGCAGCACCUAAUAGUUGAGCGUGCACUUUCUGUCUGCAGACGUAAUAUGUGGUUAUCAAACAAUCAAUCUUCACUUCUGAUGAAAGCAUCUGAACUGCCAUCUCAUUUCAUCUGCAUAUGCAAUGGUCUGACAGGCCUUUGUAUAACUCCCACUGCAUUAUCCCAUCCAUAGCUUCAACACCUUAUCUUCACCACCAGAAGCAACAUUCUCACCAUCUGGAUUCCAAUCGACCGCAAAAACCUUCUCACGAGAACACGUGCUAAAAUAAGUAAGUGGUAGUCCAUGAUAGACAUACAAACUUUAAACUUGUCUGAUGACAAUGUUAGGGGAACAAACCUCAUCCGUAUGACCCGGAAGAUCUUGUUUCAACUUCUUCAUGCGAAUAUCCCAGAUCUAAAAGUAAGCCAAAUAUUGAGCAAACAUUUAAGCAUUCAAAUCAGGCAAAAAUUCAUAAUAAUCAUAACCGGUAAAAAGGGCAGACUCCACAUGCUAUUGACAUUUACAAAUAGUUCAAACAGAAUUAAACAACAAGCAAGAGUACAUCACUCAAGCUUCCAUUCGUACUCUGCUUUACAAUAUCCUCAUCACCAUAUCUCGCAAAAUAAGCAGACCUAACAUGGUCUAACGGUUCAAAAAAUAACUUUAAAUAGACCAUUGAGAUCUCAAUGAAAACAAGUUGCACUAGAACUCAGCAACAACCGGGGGCAAAAAUCCUUAUUGCUUGCACCAUAAAUAAACUAAUUUCCUGUAACACUGAUAUUAUUUUCACAGAUAAUAUUACAAGCUCUCCUGUUACAAUUCUAAGUGACCACACUUGAUCUCUCUUAAAGCUGGCCCAUGACACACGUAAGUACUUUACGGAAAUCAUUCAAAUGCUAUAUGCUUUGUGCAACUGACCUUCAGGGUAGUCUUUGCUCCCACUUAAAAUAAGUCUACUAUCCGCAGACCAACUGUGCAUUAUGUAAAUCAUGAUUAGAAAUCAUUCUUGAAUGGAUAAGACGAGCAAAUUUUGAAAAUAUCUCAAACCUUAUCUGAUAUACAGGCCCGACAUGUCCACUGAAUGCAGCAACAAACUUCCCAAUGAUACCAUUACACAACUUCAAAGAUCUAUCAAACGAAGCACUAGCCACCCAUUGCCCAUCCGGUGAAAGGUAGACACGAUCCACAAGCUGCAAACAAAAAGCAUAAUUUCCCGCAUUUACACCUAAGACAGUUCAACAAGGAUCUAAAGUACUAGCCUCAAGAAAAUAUUAGGAGGAUGUCUCAUCCAUUGAACCAGUGCCACCAGGACCACAAUGUGGAGGACGUCCUUAUUUAGCAUCAUUAUGGCAAUUGAUAGUAUAUAAUGGAACACAAACAGUCUUCUAAAUACAGUAAAGACUUAGGGAAUCAAUCACACAGCAAAAGCAGGCAGCUGUCAAAUCAAUCUCCCUCCCUCCCUCCCUCCCUCCCUCCCUCCUCCCUCCUCCGUCACACACACGCACACACAUACCUGUUGAUGAUCGGUCAAGAACGGACAAUCAUGUUUUUGGAUGCUUACUGACAUAAGGUUCCCCACAAAACAGAGUAAUGNNNNNNNNNNNNNNNNNNNNNNNNNNNNNNNNNNNNNNNNNNNNNNNNNNNNNNNNNNNNNNNNNNNNNNNNNNNNNNNNNNNNNNNNNNNNNNNNNNNNUUUCAUUUUCUUGUAACUUUCUAAUGCAACUAUGUUCAUCAACAAAAUACAGAAGUUCAUAUAACACUUACCAGAAAGUAGAACUACAAAUGUGCAUAGACCCAAAGGCAGAGAAUCACCACAGAGCCAGAAGACGUGCUGACUAAUGCAUACUAGGUUGUAAGAAAAUAAUGUCCAGAGAGAAAUAACCAAUGCAUACUAAGUUGCAUGAGCAAAUCAAUAUGCAGAGAGAAAUAAAUGUUUGAUUUAUUGCCUCAUGAUAUAAAGAUGAUUCCACAUAAUAACAGUUACCUACUUGCUUCAUUUCUUCAGAAGAUGAAUACUGUUUUCCAGUGUGAUCAAAAGCUACAGUUCGAAGAACAUACUCAGUGCUCAGAGCAGGAGUUAACCCAGUGUCCAUGAUCCUACAACAAAAAUUUUACAGAAAUAAGGAUGAUCGUGAAAAAAAGAAGAGAGGGAUCUAGCAGCAACUUAGAUUAAGAAUGCGGACUUGGCAGUAGAAACUAAGAAAAGACAUAAUCACGCGAGCCAUGAAAACUAAACUCUAACCUUAAUAUGCAAUUCAUAUCUCAGACAUCAAAAAAUGGUGGUAUUUCAUUCCUACCGUCAAUAUCUCCCAAGAACUAUACAAUGAAAACAAUCAAGGACAUGAUAUCGCCAGUAGCUGGGCUAAAUAAUAUGCCCAAUUAGUAUGGGGUAGGUCACUAGUUGUCAAACUGCCUCCUGGCACUAAAGAGAUUGAGUGAAUGCAGCUACUCCAAAGGCGCAAAUAAAUAUAAGGCUCUUGUGGCGAAGAAGAAGACAGGCAUGCAAUGACCCUGCAAUCUGUAUAACAAACUUUAAAAAAGAUGUUACCUUCAAUUCCCUUAUCACCUUCCCCUGGGAGUUUCUCAGACAUUAAUUGUACAGUCCUGGGAGCUGCAAGAAAUUUAAAAUAAUUACUUCACCAGGCAACAAGUAGUAGAAGCAGCAGAAGUUUGGCAAAGGAUACUCAGUAGCUUGAAAGCAGAAUUUACAAGUCCUCGCUUAAUCUUAGGCCCAUUAGAAGUAUGAAUAAGUCAAGAAAACUUCAUGUUAUUCUUUUGUUUUCAUGUAGCAUGGCACUAGCAUAUGGACAUUAAUACAUCACAAAGUGAUUAAAUAUUUAUCUCAGUGUUGAAUUGCCUCUCCUGUUCCAACUUGUCAGUGGGACAGCUAUUAAGGAUUGGGAGAGAGAAUUCAUGCCAAAAAUUUGAAACCAUUAAGUGAAAGGCAAUUUCACCAACAAUUGCCAAAAUUAAGGAAGUUGCAUACCCAGUAUACAUUACAACGUCUCCUCCCCAAUUUAUGCAUGUAAUAACUAGAGUAUGACCGCUCAGACAUAUUACACAACUUUGUAGUGUUACAUCCCGUAUGCAUGCAUCACCGUCUUCACAUGAACUCACAAAGCGACGGCAUGGGGAACUCAGAUGUACUGGUUCCCAAGAUAAACCUGUGAUCCAUUUCUUGUGGCCCUGACAUAAAGCAGAUUCAAUUGUCUUAGUGGCACAGAGACUAUUCUUGCUAUGCAUCAGCCACAAAAUCAAGUUAGACACUUCAACACCUCACAAGUUAUCGUCAAAAAAUGGUAAAGGGUGUCAGAAAGCUUUCCUCAACAAAAAGGGUACACCAUGAUCUCAUCCUAUAAAGGCAAAGCUACACAAUAAACUGUACUCACUACACUAAACUUAUGGAUAUCAUCCAAAUUAACGCCAACACUGCUCCCGCUUAUUUUGCCACAAGUAUCAAAUUAGAAGCAACAAAUUGGCAAUUUUAUCCACCAUUUCCUCUUCAAUAUGGAGUUAUAAACCAAGAAAUAUUAAUAGGAAAUGGAGUUCCAUGGAAUCCUUUAAGGAAGGAUUCGUGUAACACCAAAGGUCCAAAACUAUUUGGUCCAAACAACUUUCCAUAAAAUAAAUUUAGGUCAAAGUUAAAUGAAGUUGGUAAAAGCAGCAAAAUACAAUCAACUGAAUAAGAUACUUUCUAGUCUUAUAAUGCAAUAAGGAUCAUACGACAAGUGGAUUGCCUGAUGGUUGCGCAGUCAACGGAUCCCAACAUUGGAGUUCUCCAGCCUUGCUUCCACUUACAAGAUGCUUACCAUCAGGUUACCAUGUAAUACAGAGGACCCAAUUCUUGUGCCCUGAGUAAAAGAAAGUUUCAUUAAUCAAACAGACAAAAAGGAAACCAAGUAAUUUAUACUGCCAACAAACCGCUUACUAACAUUUUUUCCACCCACAAUCCACUACAUGGUCUUUGUAGGAUUGAUAUCACAUGGAUGCAAUAACAUUUACAAGCUCAUUAUCCUGUGAGAAAAAUAUCACGUGAGGUCAUUACUACUACGUGUCAAUUGGUAACAAGUGACAAGCUGCCAUAUCAAAUCUAAAACAAGAAAAGGAAAUUGACAACUUCAUCAAUCAACGUUCAACUCUAAAUUCACAAAUUAUUUUGAAGUGCAUCAAUAGACCCACACUAAUACUUUUCGAAAACCCAGCUAGUUUAAUUGCGGAAAUUUACUUCUCAGUUUGAAAACAAAACAAGUAAUGCCUAAUUCAAACAAUUUUUGUUUGAUGAUCACCGGUGCAUUUGUAUACUAUAGCAAAAUCCCCUAGAAUGAAAUCUAUGGGAAUUUGCACAACGAAAAAAAGAUAACAAAGCCUAGUCUUGAUUUUGCAUUUCACAUCCAACUGCUGGAUCCUGAGUGAAACCUUACCAACAAGCUGAUCUCCGCAAAUCAAAGAUAUACAAUGGCAUCCACCAUUCACAUUUUUGGAUACCUACCAAAUUUCUCCUGAAUUGCAACCAUUAAUACGGGAACUUGAACACAGGAGCACAGUUACCCAUCUUCUCCUGUAUUUCAACUACAUCCUGUAGAAAGCAUCCAAUUGUUGGUUUAAUGCAAACAAAUUUCUUCAAACUUUCAGUAAAAUAAAAGAAACAUGGUUAUCUCGCAGCCACAGGUACUUUCAGAUUCACCCAACCAUCAAAAAACCUUGUGACAAUUUACACAUUGUCCUAAAGUCUUCACAGAAAAAGAAAACCACGCUUUGCUUUGCUUUAAAGCUAAACUAGUAAUGGAAGUUAAAGAAAUGAAAUGGCUGUUAUCUAAACACUAGUUCCAUGAAACUACUGCAAAAGUAAUGAAGAAAGAAAGCAAAUUCAAGCUUCAGUUACUUGAAUAUAUUGCAAUUGUCCCCAGGCACAAAAUCCAAACUAUCCGCACUUGAACAUGGAAUGAGACAUGGGCUGCUAAAGGUAACGAAAGUACUUAAGACUAAACCAACUACCAAGAUACAAGACAAAUUUGCCAUCUCAUUUUAGGCACCAAUAGAGAGACUUGAACGAUCAAGCCAAAACUAUUUAGCGCCAAAGAGAAGAAAAAAAAAAGCCAGAAAAUUCAGCGCAAUCAUAGAAGCGCCUAACGAAAUGCAAAAACAGCGAGGGGAAAGGGAAGGCCGACUGCAAGAGGGAAGGCCGCGGGCGAGGCGAGGCGAGGCGACCGACGGACCGAGAGCGAGAUUAGGGAGAGAGUUUUUUGAGAGGGCUAGGGUUUUGUCCAUCAUUAUGCGUGAGGAAAGGGGAGAUUGCGAAAACGCGACACGCGAGCUCAACUAGAGGAAGCAGAGGUAGCAAGCAAGAAGAGAGAAACGCUGCGGGAAUUAGCGAGCGACCGAGAGGAAGAAGCGAACCUGCAGCAGAGCCUCGAGACGGGAGCGAAGAACCAUAGAAAACGCCGUUCUGAACGAAGAAGAAGACGGAGAAGAGGAGGAGGAGGAGGAGGAGAGAGAGAGUCAGCAGAAGCCGUCAGGGAGCAGCAGAAUUAAAGAAGCGGGAGACGUACAGUCCGGUAAGCCUGCGUGCUGGUACAUGAUGGAGUAACAAAACGCGGGUUCUCAAUAUUUGAAUUAGUAGGUUCGUUCAUCAAAAUUUUGUUACGCCCGUGUUUAGUUAGGAAAGGGUGACAUUUAAUCAGGAUGGUAAGUCAAGAUUCCAUCUCAGUAUCACCAAAAUUUCAAUUUCUAGCAAAACGAAUGAUGCGAAUGAUGAUAAAAGGGAAAUUACCCACUUUACCACUUGUAUUUUCAUAUUGCAUUUUUGCAUCCUCGAUUUUAAAUUCACUACUAAAUUUUGUCAAACCAAAUUGUAUUAUUAAGACCUCUGUAUUAUCAUGAGAAUUUGAUAAUUUAUGUCUCUCGAAAUAGUGGUUCUGGAAUGCAAAAUAAGGUGGGUUGUCAAGUUAACGUCAGUUAUAUUUGUGACAAGCGCAUCUACUCUUUCAUUGCAUUGAUUCAUAGUCUUUUUAAUUUGAGCUUUAAUGUGUGUUCUCAAAAACUUUAGCCGGAAAUUGCUAAAGAGCAUAAAAUUGGCCUGUUGUGAUAAACUCUACACACCUGAUUGAUCCUUUAUUAAAGUUGGAAAGCUUCAUUCAACAUGUGACAGUGACAUUACAAUCUUAGGUAGGCACUACCACACAUCUAAGGCUGCUCCUCUAUUAUAGCCUCAGCGUGAUUAAUUUCUUUCAUGGAUUUGUCCUUUCACAUGUAGAUAACUAAGAUAGGUACUUCUCCAGGAUGUUGGACAUCUAUCAAUGCCAAACCAACGCCAACAGAUCCCAAACCGGUUGAUGCGCCUCCGUCACUGCUCCGCCGCCCCUCCGCGUCGAUCGGUUCCAUGGAUCUACCCGGGAACUGGACCGGACCGGCGGUCCGGUUCUCGGGUGGAUCCAUGCAACAAACGGAUGGAUCCCGGUUCCAAUUUUUCGGAACCGGUCCUUAACGGGCGGUUCCCGGUUCUAGGUCAGGAACCGCCUGCCCGAACCAUGCACACCCCUAGUGCCAAGAACGGAGGAGAUGAGCGGAGCAGAGAAGGUGGUGGGCGCGAUCGGAGGGUCGGAUCUCUAUAAAAAAUAGUCACUUCUAGCAUGAUAUUGAAUUAUUGUAAUGCCAAGCAAUUGUAUCUUCCUUGCCCUAAGGAUUUGUUGUUCACCAAUUGGAUUCUCAACCUUUAUACAUACGAAUAUGCUCUCAUAUACCUUUACCAAAAAAAAAAAAAAAUAGGCUCUCAUGUAUUUUUCUGACUUAGGCGCGUUAGUGAGAAGCUUCUCAUUACUUACUCUUAAAGUGGUGAUUCUAGAAUGCUAAAUGAGGCAGCGUUGUCAAGUUAAUGUCACUUAUAUUUGCGACAUACGCAUGUGUUCUUUCAUUGCAUUAACUUAUAAUAUUUCUAUUUUGAGUUUUGGCAUGUCCUUUCAAAAGCCUUAGCAGAGGACCCCGCUGGAAAUUGCUAAAGGGCACAAAAUUGGCCUGUCGUGAUAUAGACCCGACAAGCAUGGUUGGUCCUCUAUUAGAGCCUGAAAACUUCAUUCAACAUGCGAGUGACAUUAUACAUAGGCACUAGCCCCACCUCUAAGGUUGGUGAUUUACUACUCGGUUCUUUAAAGAUUCGGCCGAGCAUCGGGCUCUUUAUAAGUCCAUCUGCUCCGCCACCGAGUCCAGUACUCGUUCACUCUCUCCCCCGAGCCACAGGAGACGAGACCAGCGUGUGUGAACUCCACGGUUCAGGUGCCGAGAACGGAGAAGAUGAGCGGAGCAGGGAAGGUGGUGGGUGUGACCGGAGGGUCGGGUUACAUAGCUUCUUGGCUGGUCAAGCUCUUGCUCCACCGUGGCUACACUGUUCGAGCCACAAUCCGAGACCCAAGUAAGAAAAAAGUUCCCUCUCCCUCCCUCUCUCUAUCUCUCUCUCUCUCUCUCUCUCUCUCUCUCUCUCUCUUAUGCUCUUUUACGCUUCUUGGGCAUUGUCAAGCUGUUGGAAGAAGAAAAAACAAAGAACCGUUGAAAUCUGAUAAUCCACAUGAAGUUAUGUGGAAACCCUUUAUUAGAGUGAAACCAUCGAGCUAUUUUUUGUGAGAGAGAAGAAUUUUGCUAGCUUCAUUAGUUUUGUCUAUAUAUCUAUCUGAUAAAGUUCCGAUCUUUUGCAUCCUGUUCGACUUUGUUAAAGAAGUAGCACGCUCAAACCAUCGCUCAAUUCCGGAUUCUUGAUUUAUUUAUUCUCGCAUCAGUUUUGCACAAGUUCGUCCAUAAACAAUACGACUCUUCUCGUUCCGCCUAUGCCCUUUCUGACUAUAGAUGCUACUAGUGUGUCGGUGAGGGUCCCUGCAACUUUUUAAAUUUCAGUCAGUUGAGAUUUCUCAUUCUUGUGCAUGUGCAACAGCCGACCCAAAGAAGACAGGACACCUCCUGGCACUGGAGGGGGCUAAGGAGAGGCUGCAUUUAUUCAAAGCGGAAUUGCAGCAAGAAGGGUCCUUUGACUCCGUAGUCGACGGAUGCGAAUGUGUUUUUCACAUUGCAUUCCCCUAUCUGCCCUCAGCUGCUGACCCCCAGGUGCUUGAAUCUUGCCAUGUCAAUCAUCUUUCAUGAUUUGUUACGUGCUUAAAUUCCAACGUUGUCCUUGUUUUCCUAAAUGAGUAGAUAGGUCCAUGUGGAUGGGGAUUUGCGUUUCUUCUGCCAUAACGAGUUCAGUUUUGGUUUUCUGAUACUUUUAAUGAGAAUUUUACCUAAUGAUUUCUUCUAUUACAUGACUCAGGCUGAAAUAAUUGAUCCUGCCGUAAAGGGCACCCUCAAUGUUCUAAGAUCAUGCGCCAAAGCCUCUUCUAUCAAGAGAGUGGUUGUGACGUCCUCUAUGGCCACAGUUGCAUUUAGUGCAAAACCUGUGACUUCGGGCAUUGUCAUUGAUGAGACUUGGGAUUCAGAUCCAGAAUUUUGCCAGAAAUCCAAGGUUUGUGUAUCAAUAUUUCCUAACAAUAUUGCUGUUCAUUUCUUGAAAUUUAACUAUCGAAUAACAUUCAGAGUUAUUGUUAUAAAGUAAAACUGGUAAAAUGUUGAUUCCGAGAGAAGUCGGAACAUCAGGGAACAUUCUCUCUUAAAUCACAUAGCUUUCACUAGACACAUUUUACAGAUGCUCGAACCGAGGAGUGCCUAUCUUAUCACUUACGGUUGUUUGUGUUACUCUUGCAAUUUAGUCUAGCACCAUGUUAGAUGCUACAUAUGCUUAUUGAAAACAACAUUUUCUAUAUACUUCGAUUCAUGGGGAACUACUUGUCUGUCAUUUCUUUUAAUUGGUAAUCUCCCAAUGCCCCUUGGAUGACAUCGAAUGAAGUCCAUGUCAUGGCAAUGGUUAUUAUAUGUGUUGAAUGAGGCAAAACAUUCUAACAGUCUCUUUGUUUUAUCUAUCUUCAGCUCUGGUAUAUCCUUUCAAAAACCUUCGCAGAGAAGGCAGCUUGGGAAUUUGCCAAAGAGAAUGGAAUUGACCUUGUGAUCAUAAACCCAGGACAUGUGUUCGGUCCCUUCUUGCAGCCCACUGUUAAUUUCUCCGUGGGGUUAAUACUGAACCUCAUCAAUGGUAUCACUAUCAUCUAGCCAUAAAUUAUGUUUGUUAUUAAAUCUUUGCCAUUUUAUUUCAGAGCAGCUUCGUCAAACAUUUGUGCAUACUUGUUCUCAUUACCCAAAAGACAAUCUCAAGGAGUAACCGUAGAACUAUCUAUCUGAUUGUAUGCCCUUAAUCAUACUUACGAGUUAUGGCCACGUGUCUCAGAAUGUCAUUCUGCAUUGCUCCAUGGAAUGGCUAUCCUUCUUUGCUAGUUAACUGAAUUUGGCAACAUGAGGUCCUCAGGCCCUUAAAUUCUAUUUAUUGGAUCUGGCUUCUUUAUUGAAGGGUCUGCUUGAUUGGCUGCACAGACACUAUUAUAAUCAUCUGUUAGAUUUCCACAUGCGACAUAGUUUUCAACUACCGGCAGAAGCAUCUAGUAUAAAGUAAAAGUUGUAUUGACGUUGGCAUGGGAGUAAUUGAGGCUUAUCCUGCAGGAGCUCAAACAUUUCCAAAUACAUGCUAUAUAUUUGUCGAUGUCAGAGACGUCGCACACGCACACAUUCUAGCUUUUGAAAAUCAUUCAGCUCACGGAAGAUAUUGCCUAGUAGCCAAAACUGUGCACUGCCAUGAUGUUUUGCAGAUUCUGCGCAAUCUCUACCCCACUUUGCACCUCCCUAAGAAGUAAGUUAUCAUUCUGCCUUAAUUCUUAACUCAUCUUCUGUCAGACUACUGUGCGUCCAAGAGAUUUACGGUUGUUUUCCUAAUGGUGCAGAUGCGAAGAUGAGAAGCCUUUCUCUUCGAAGGAUGAGAUAUCAACAAAGAAGGCAGAAGCUCUGGGUGUCGACUUCACUCCAUUGGAGGUGAGUCUGAGAGAUACCGUCGAAUGCCUCAAGGAGAAGGGAUUCAUCUCUGUCUAGGCAGUUGCUUAGAACAGCAUAUCACAAGCUUGCUAAUAAUGACUUGUGGACCUGUGGUCUGUCCUCAGCCUUUUAGCUCCUAAAUCGUACGAUUGUUCUGAAUAAUGUAUCAUUACCCACUUUCAGAGAUUACUCUGCCAGUUUUUCCCAGCUAAUCUUAAAUUUAUUAAUGGUUGGUUUCUCUUCGCAGUUUGCCUGCCAAAAUGACUCAUCAUAUAGAACAUCAGAAAUAAUCUUGAAGACUUUGUAAGCAAUGUUGAAAACUUGUGUGAUAAAUUGAGUUAAUGACUCAAGCUAGGGGUUAAUCCAAGAAGGCUCCUCUCUGGCCAACAUACUUGAGUUAAUGACUCAAGCUAGGGGUUAAUCCAAGAAGGCUACUCUCUGGCCAACACACUUGACGGCCAUUAUGUAUAAAGCCAAUAGAAAAAUGAGGGGCUCACUAUAACUGGAUAUGAAUAUCAAAGACUGAUUCUGCCAAUUACUUAUAUGAACAAAUUAUCGGUGACUCAUGAUACUCUCAAUUAAUACAGCAUUGAACAGUGUUUCUUAGGUUAACAAAACCUUUGAGAAUAUCAUCUGUAUCAUAAGUAGACAAUGCGUACUGGCUGCGACUGCCAUCCUGAUGCAAGAGAGCUUUACACAACCAAAUUGAAUCCUAACUUCCAGUACCUGAUAGUUGAGUGUGCACUUUGUGGCUGAUUGCAUCCGAACUUGCAGUACCUGAUAGUUGAGUGUGCACUUUGUGUCUUCAGACGUAAUAUGGGCUAUCAAACAAUCAAUUCUUCACUUCGGAUGAAAGCAUUUGAACUGCCAUCUCAUUUCAUUUGCAUAUGUAACAGUGUUGACACUUAAUUUUGAAAAAAUAAAAUUGCAUUUCGAACAAAUAAAAGGAAGAAAAAAUAAAAAUGGGGAAAAUUGAUUUGAUUGAUUAUGCAUGGAAGUUUGAAAUUCUGAUGAGUAUUCAGAUUUUGAUAAAUGUAGAAACAAUUGAAAAAUCUGGCGAACAAAGGGCAAGGAUUUUAAUAAAAUGAAAGCCAAACCCAAAAUCGGUGAGGAUAAUGAUCAGAUUGAUAAAUCAAAAGGAAAGUAUCAAAAAUUAUACCCAUCAGAUGAACUGUUUGCAAAAAUUAAAACGGACGUGGAUGCGUUUUUUGGUAAAUGAGUGAAAAAUCGAAAUGUAAAUUUGCGAUGGCAAAUCGGGGCUAAAAUUCUGUAAUUCCAGCCAUCAAGGAAGCGCAACUUUCUAAAGAUCAAUAGAGGUUUUCACUAUAAAAGGGCUACAGAUUCGGAAAAAUCAAGGGGGAAUUCGAAAAAAAAUUCGAGAGAAAAAUUCGUGCGAGGAAAAAUCCUUCGUCCGUCUUGGUCAAAGGAGAAGCCAUUUCUCUUUUCUUUCUCUGACAAGAAAAGGGAAAGUCAGGAAGAGGUACAGAGAGGACGUGAGGGAGACGUGAGAAGAGAGAGAAAGAAAUAAAAAAAGAGAGAGAAGAACACUGUUCUUCUUUGUGCGGGUGUUCUUCCCACCGCCGGCCUCCUUCCGUGACUACCUGCGCAGCUCGCCAUCACCCGCGAGCACCAGCAGCAGCCUGCUCGUCGCUGCUGAUCGCCCAGCACCGCUCGCCCGACGACCGCGCUGCUGUCCCCUGCCGCCGCUGCACCAACGCUCGACGUCUGCAAUUCACCCGACGCCGCAGCAGCCCGCUGCUGCCGCGCCUCCACAGCCGCGAGCACCGUCGCCCGCGCUCCCGACCUCGUCGUGCCACCGCGCCGCUCUCCUCAGCCCAGCAUCCGGUGCCUUCGCCGCCCAUCUCCGCUCACCGGACGUUGCGACCGCGAUCCCGACGACCGCGCUCCCGCCCUCGCCAACGCCGCGCCGUUGCAACACCUCUGCUCCACCCGCGACGCCGCCCGUCGAUCUCCGAGCUCCGUCGCGCCUCCGCACCGCCACCUCGCUGGUCCCCUCGUCGCCGCCCAGCUUCGCCGGAGCUCCGACCGCGACGCCCCUGCCGGACCUCCGUUUAGCCACCCUUGGCCGGGCCCCACGGCUGUCAAGCCCAUUUUUUAAAAAAAAAGAAGAAAAGAAAAGAAAUGAAAACACAUUAGGUAGUUUUCUUUAGUUUACUUUAUUUAUUUUAUUUUACUUUAUCUUGUGUUUUUUUAGUAUAAUUAGUCUUUAUUAUAUGAUUGGAAAUUUCAACAUAUCACCCAAUUCACAACCGCGCCAGGAUUUUUUAUUUCAUCUAUAAGGCCUUAGAUGAAAUAAUUAAUUAAGCAAGAAUAAAAUUGAUAUUUUGAUAUUUAAGGCUUAAGAUCAAUUUAUCAUUUUUAUCAGCGAAAUGUUAUCCCUUGAUAUGAGUUACGUGUGAUAUCCUUGUUUUGGCUUGUCAUGAUAGCUUUGUUCAUCUCGAAAUAUGUUUGGGUUAUAAUGUUGCAUAUUUUAGGGUUUACACAUUUAGAAUAGGAAUCUUAUUUCGAAUAUUCCUAUUCUAAAUUUUAAAAUCAAAAAUCAAAAAAUCAAAUCAAUCAAUUUAGGUUGCUAGAUUUUUAAUUUGGAUUGCAUGUUUAAUUAUUUGGCAAUUAUUAAUUUCGAAAAUCAAUUAUUAAUUUCGAAAAUUAAUUAAAAAAAACAAUAAAAAAUCAUCAUGCAUAUGUCAUGUAGAAUUAGUGCAUAUUUUGUACGUCAUUGCAUAUUAGGGUUAAAUUGCACUUAGUUUAAUUCUAGAUAAUAUCUUUCUUAGUUUAUUAUGAGUUUAGAUAUUUUGCAUCUUAGGAUUAUCUAGGUUAAGAUAAUAUUUUAGUUUAAAUUAGGAUUUGGCUUAAUCUAAUUCCUAAUGCAAAUUAAAUAGAAUCUUAAUCUAGUUAAAUAAAUUUUCACAUUUUUCCUAAUUCCGAAUUUUCAUGAAAAAAAAUACAAAAAAAUGUCUUAGAAUAAAUUAGUUCUAUUCCCUAGGAUAGAUUGCAUUUUUAGGAAAAAACAAAAAAUUUCAUUGCGUAUCAUUAAAAGUAGAUUCAUGAAAUGCAUGUCAUUUAGAUAUUGUUAUUAGGUCCAUUUAAUUAGAAAUUGCAUGACAUUAGAAUUAGGUCAUUUAGUUAAUACUGCAUUGCAUAUUGCAUGAUUUUAUUUAAGUGAAAACAAAAAGAAAUUGCGACAUUGCAUAUUGCAUGAUUUUAUUUAAGUGAAAACAAAAAGAAAUUGCGUGUUAAUUAGAAACCAUAUCCAGGUUGUUGAUGUGGUUUUUUAACUUAACAUUGCAGAUGUUUUCGUUGCUUUGAGAUAAGUUUUUACAGUUUAUUUAUUGUUUAUCUGGGUGUUAAAUUGGUGGAUUGCGCACCCGCAUGAUCACCUAACAUGUUAGGAAAAUAGAUUUAAAAUCAAUUUAAGCUGCCUGCAAAAACAUUUUUGCAAAAUAAAAGAAUGGUAUCGAAAGAGCAUUAGAGAAAUCUAGUGUAACCAAGUCCCCGUACCCAUAGUCUCUGGUUCGUAGGAGUAAAGUGAAACUCCCGUUACUUUACUUGGGUUUCUAAUCGACCCACCAAAAAAUAAAUUAGUGGCGACUCCUGUUUAAAAAAUAAAUUGCAUAUUAAGAACUUGAACUUAAGUCGCGAAUUGGUAUGGGCUUGAGAGAGCCUGAAUUAAAUCUAGACUUAAUAAUCCAUUAACCAAAUUUUAAGUGGUUCACACCUCGAAAAAUAGGUCGCGACAAACGGUCUAGGCACCUGCUUAAAAACAGCACGACACUAGCUGAUAAUUCGGGGUUCCUUGCUUUCUUUCCUCCGUCACAUCCUGCAUACUCAUAUGUGCAGAAUAACCUAUGCGCAUCCACUUUACGAAACAAGUUUUACCGGUUGAAGUUUCUU